Molecule: transfer RNA, 73 nt
Filed under: Camelus bactrianus (Bactrian camel)
Lineage: Eukaryota; Metazoa; Chordata; Mammalia; Artiodactyla; Camelidae
Also listed under: 2 other names
Rfam family: tRNA
About the family: Transfer RNA (tRNA) molecules are approximately 80 nucleotides in length. Their secondary structure includes four short double-helical elements and three loops (D, anti-codon, and T loops).
Source: Rfam by way of RNAcentral
GAGAGUAACAGCUCAGGGGUAGAGCACAUACUUAGCAUGUUUGAGGUUCUGGGUUCAAUACCCAGUACUUCCC